This is a long non-coding RNA of Esox lucius (northern pike), 521 nucleotides long. RefSeq lists it as uncharacterized. The transcript is spliced from 3 exons. The record is from RefSeq and is a predicted model, not a curated record. NCBI's taxonomy places the organism in Eukaryota, Metazoa, Chordata, Actinopteri, Esociformes, Esocidae.
UCUCAGGUGACUGCAGCUAGCUAGCUAGGGGUGUCGCUGCAAGUGUGACGUGGAAUUUGUUUGGCUAUAUGGCGCUCCCAAGCUGUGCUACCAACCAAAAGUAGAGUCUCUGGAACAAGGAGGUGGUUUUGAUGUAGGACAUCCGCAAGCUGAUCUACCAUGAUAAAGCAGCAGCACACAGCAUGUUGGAGACCACUGGAACCAUGAGAGUACCUUUGUUAUCACACCCAAUCACCAUCUAAGCUACCCCCUCCUUUCCCUUGCCCAUACCCACAACCCAGCACUCCUGUACCCUUAUUCCCCAAUUCCAUGAAAAAUUACACUUUCAAAAGGACACCCCUCCUGGUUUUUCUGCUAAAUUGAGGGGAGAGAAUGCCAGCCUGAUUGCCUGGCUGCCCCACUCUGCGCGACUCUAGAAUACAUAAGAGGCCCCUCUAAGGCCCAGUCGCUCCGGGACACCACUCUAUCCCACUUCAGAGACAAGCCCGAUGAAGCCAUCAGCACGACCAGGCCGAGCUGUC